RNAcentral lists this non-coding RNA (32 nucleotides) under Mus musculus (house mouse). The record is from RNAcentral. Lineage: Eukaryota; Metazoa; Chordata; Mammalia; Rodentia; Muridae.
UAACCCAAUGGUAUGUCAGUAUGUGAUAUGUU